RNAcentral lists this ribosomal RNA (433 nucleotides) under uncultured bacterium. Its description in RNAcentral is "partial 16S ribosomal RNA". It matches the Rfam family "Bacterial small subunit ribosomal RNA", at positions 29 to 507 of the family's 1533-position model. The record is from RNAcentral.
AACGAACGCUGGCGGCAUGCCUAACACAUGCAAGUCGAACGAGACCUUCGGGUCUAGUGGCGCACGGGUGCGUAACGCGUGGGAACCUGCCCUUAGGUUCGGAAUAACUCCCCGAAAGGGGUGCUAAUACCGGAUAAUGUCUUCGGACCAAAGAUUUAUCGCCUUUGGAUGGGCCCGCGUUGGAUUAGCUAGUUGGUAGGGUAAAAGCCUACCAAGGCGUCGAUCCAUAGCUGGUCUGAGAGGAUGAGCAGCCACACUGGGACUGAGACACGGCCCAGACUCCUACGGGGGGCAGCGGUUGGGAAAAUUCGACGAUGGGCGAAAACCUGAUCCAGCCAUGCCGCGGGAGUGGUGAAUGGCGUAGUGUUGUAAAGCUCUUUUAGCCGGGAUGAUAAUGACAGUACCGGGAGAAUAAGCUCCGGCUAACUACGUG